AGCGAACGCUGGCGGCAGGCCUAACACAUGCAAGUCGAACGAACUCUUCGGAGUUAGUGGCGGACGGGUGAGUAACACGUGGGAACGUGCCUUUUGGUUCGGAAUAACUCAGGGAAACUUGUGCUAAUACCGAAUGUGCCCUUCGGGGGAAAGAUUUAUCGCCAUUAGAGCGGCCCGCGUCUGAUUAGCUAGUUGGUGAGGUAACGGCGCACCAAGGCGACGAUCAGUAGCUGGUCUGAGAGGAUGACCAGCCACACUGGGACUGAGACACGGCCCAGACUCGUGCGGGAGGGAGCAGUGGGGAAUCUUGCGCGAUGGGCGAAAGCCUGACGCAGCCAGGCCGGGUGAAUGAGGAAGGUCUUAGGAUUGUAAAAUUCUUUCACCGGGGACGAUAAUGACGGUACCCGGAGAAGAAGCCCCGGCUAACUUCGUG
RNAcentral lists this ribosomal RNA (433 nucleotides) under uncultured bacterium. RNAcentral's name for it is "partial 16S ribosomal RNA". It matches the Rfam family "Bacterial small subunit ribosomal RNA", at positions 29 to 507 of the family's 1533-position model. The record is from RNAcentral.